UGGUGGAGCGAUUUGUCUGGUUAAUUCCGAUAACGAACGAGACUCUAGCCUAUUAAAUAGUUCGCCGAUUUUUCGAGUCGGCGUCAACUUCUUAGAGGGACAAGUGUCGUAUAGGCACACGAGAUUGAGCAAUAACA
Molecule: ribosomal RNA, 137 nt
Filed under: uncultured eukaryote
Lineage: Eukaryota
Description: partial 18S ribosomal RNA
Rfam family: Eukaryotic small subunit ribosomal RNA
Source: RNAcentral